GCGUAAGCGACGUUCAACACAAAAAUCAGGCAGUGGAGCGUUUUGGGGUGGGGUGACUGCGUACCUUUUGUAUAAUGGGUCAGCGACUUAUAUUCUGUAGCAAGGUUAACCGCAUAGGGGAGCCGGAGGGAAACCGAGUCUUAAUUGGGCGUUAAGUUGCAGGGUAUAGACCCGAAACCCGGUGAUCUAGCCAUGGGCAGGUUGAAGGUUGGGUAACACUAACUGGAGGACCGAACCGACUAAUGUUGAAAAAUUAGCGGAUGACCUGUGGCUGGGGGUGAAAGGCCAAUCAAACCGGGAGAUAGCUGGUUCUCCCCGAAAGCUAUUUAGGUAGCGCCUCGUGAAUUCAUCUCCGGGGGUAGAGCACUGUUUCGGCCAGGGGGCCAUCCCGGCUUACCAAUCCGAUGCAAACUGCGAAUACCGGAGAAUGUUAUCACGGGAGACACACGGCGGGUGCUAACGUCCGUCGUGAAGAGGGAAACAACCCAGACCGCCAGCUAAGGUCCCAAAGUCAUGGUUAAGUGGGAAACGAUGUGGGAAGGCCCAGACAGCCAGGAUGUUGGCUUAGAAGCAGCCAUCAUUUAAAGAAAGCGUAAUAGCUCACUGGUCGAGUCGGCCUGCGCGGAAGAUGUAACGGGGCUAAACCAUGCACCGAAGCUGCGGCAGCGACACUGAUGUGUUGUUGGGUAGGGGAGCGUUCUGUAAGCCGUUGAAGGUGGCCUGUGAGGGUUGCUGGAGGUAUCAGAAGUGCGAAUGCUGACAUAAGUAACGAUAAAGCGGGUGAAAAGCCCGCUCGCCGGAAGACCAAGGGUUCCUGUCCAACGUUAAUCGGGGCAGGGUGAGUCGACCCCUAAGGCGAGGCCGAAAGGCGUAGUCGAUGGGAAACGGGUUAAUAUUCCCGUACUUGGUGUUACUGCGAAGGGGGGACGGAGAAGGCUAUGUUGGCCGGGCGACGGUUGUCCCGGUUUAAGCGUGUAGGUGUGUGUUCCAGGUAAAUCCGGUUCACUUUAACACUGAGGCGUGACGACGAGGCACCACGGUGCUGAAGCAACAAAUGCCCUGCUUCCAGGAAAAGCCUCUAAGCCUCAGGUAACAUCAAAUCGUACCCCAAACCGACACAGGUGGUCAGGUAGAGAAUACCAAGGCGCUUGAGAGAACUCGGGUGAAGGAACUAGGCAAAAUGGUGCCGUAACUUCGGGAGAAGGCACGCUGACACGUAGGUGAAGUGGUUUACCCAUGGAGCUGAAGUCAGUCGAAGAUACCAGCUGGCUGCAACUGUUUAUUAAAAACACAGCACUGUGCAAACACGAAAGUGGACGUAUACGGUGUGACGCCUGCCCGGUGCCGGAAGGUUAAUUGAUGGGGUCAGCGCAAGCGAAGCUCCUGAUCGAAGCCCCGGUAAACGGCGGCCGUAACUAUAACGGUCCUAAGGUAGCGAAAUUCCUUGUCGGGUAAGUUCCGACCUGCACGAAUGGCGUAAUGAUGGCCAGGCUGUCUCCACCCGGGACUCAGUGAAAUUGAACUCGCUGUGAAGAUGCAGUGUACCCGCGGCAAGACGGAAAGACCCCGUGAACCUUUACUAUAGCUUGACACUGAACACUGGUCCUUGAUGUGCAGGAUAGGUGGGAGGCUUUGAAGUGUGGACGCCAGUCUGCAUGGAGCCAUCCUUGAAAUACCACCCUUUAAUGGCUGGUGUUCUAACGUGGGCCCGUGAACCGGGUUGCGGACAGUGUCUGGUGGGUAGUUUGACUGGGGCGGUCUCCUCCUAAAGAGUAACGGAGGAGCACGAAGGUUGGCUAAUCCUGGUCGGACAUCAGGAGGUUAGUGCAAUGGCAUAAGCCAGCUUGACUGCGAGCGUGACGGCGCGAGCAGGUGCGAAAGCAGGUCAUAGUGAUCCGGUGGUUCUGAAUGGAAGGGCCAUCGCUCAACGGAUAAAAGGUACUCCGGGGAUAACAGGCUGAUACCGCCCAAGAGUUCAUAUCGACGGCGGUGUUUGGCACCUCGAUGUCGGCUCAUCACAUCCUGGGGCUGAAGUAGGUCCCAAGGGUAUGGCUGUUCGCCAUUUAAAGUGGUACGCGAGCUGGGUUUAGAACGUCGUGAGACAGUUCGGUCCCUAUCUGCCGUGGGCGCUGGAAGAUUGAGGGGGGCUGCUCCUAGUACGAGAGGACCGGAGUGGACGCAUCACUGGUGUUCGGGUUGUCAUGCCAAUGGCACUGCCCGGUAGCUACAUGCGGAAGAGAUAAGUGCUGAAAGCAUCUAAGCACGAAACUUGCCCCGAGAUGAAUCUUCCCUGAGCCUUUAAGGCUCCUGAAGGAACGUUGAAGACGACGACGUUGAUAGGCCGGGUGUGUAAGCGCAGCGAUGCGUUGAGCUAACCGGUACUAAUGAACCGUGAGGCUUAACCUU
This 2406-nucleotide ribosomal RNA is filed under the name Salmonella enterica. RNAcentral's name for it is "23S ribosomal RNA". It matches the Rfam family "Bacterial large subunit ribosomal RNA". Lineage: Bacteria; Pseudomonadati; Pseudomonadota; Gammaproteobacteria; Enterobacterales; Enterobacteriaceae. The record is from RNAcentral.